This 446-nucleotide ribosomal RNA is filed under the name uncultured bacterium. Its description in RNAcentral is "partial 16S ribosomal RNA". It matches the Rfam family "Bacterial small subunit ribosomal RNA", at positions 338 to 795 of the family's 1533-position model. The record is from RNAcentral.
CCUACGGGUGGCAGCAGUCGAGAAUCAUUCACAAUGGGGGAAACCCUGAUGGUGCGACGCCGCGUGGGGGAAUGAAGGUCUUCGGAUUGUAAACCCCUGUCAUGUGGGAGCAAAUUAAAAAGAUAGUACCACAAGAGGAAGAGACGGCUAACUCUGUGCCAGCAGCCGCGGUAAUACAGAGGUCUCAUGCGUUGUUCGGAAUCACUGGGCGUAAGGCGUGCGUAGGCGUUUUCGUAAGUCGUGUGUGAAAGGCGCGGGCUCAACCCGCGGACGGAACAUGAUACUGCGAGACUAGAGUAAUGGAGGGGGAACCGGAAUUCUUGGUGUAGCAGUGAAAUGCGUAGAUAUCGAGAGGAACACUCGUUGCGAAGGCGGGUUCCUGGACAUUAACUGACGCUGAGGCACGAAGGCCAGGGGAGCGAAAGGGAUUAGAUACCCGUGUAGUC